This 4665-nucleotide long non-coding RNA is filed under the name Sus scrofa (pig). RNAcentral's name for it is "lncRNA (ENSSSCG00060003445.1)". Lineage: Eukaryota; Metazoa; Chordata; Mammalia; Artiodactyla; Suidae. The record is from RNAcentral.
GGGCUGCGUGGUGAGCUUCAGUUACCUAGGGCCUUGAACUUUUUAUUUUUCUGAGCCACUGGCCAAUUUUAGAAGUCCCACCUGCCUGAGGAAUAUCUUUGCUUCCCUGGUAGCCAUCCCAAGCAAGCUCUGACACAGCCAGAAAAUUUGCUGACUGUACCCAGAGAGUCCACCAGCUGUUCUUAGAGUGAGCAGACUGUUUAUGUGCCCUUCUGGUCAAGUCACACUCAAUGCUGAAGAAUAAGGAGCUCAUUCAGUAAUAGCUGAGUUGCUGCUUUUUUUUUUUUUUUUAAACCCAAAGGCAAAAUUAAAGCAAUACAACAUUUUUGCCAGUCACAUUCUGUUUGAAAAGAUGAAUCAUCCUCAUGUUUGUGCUCAAAGACAUCUGCUUAGGGGCAAGAAUAUUUGCAGGCUAAUUUUGUGCAAGAAUCACCUUUUGACAGCAGAUCAAUAUGAGAAUAUGUGUUUGCUCUGGGGAGGAGGGAGAAAGCACACAUCUUGCCAGUCAGGAGAAAACUUGAAUUGCUCCUUCUCAAAUGGAUCAUGGUAAUGUUUUUACGUAGGUCAAAAAAUCACAGACAAGGACAUAUAAAAAACUAAAGAACGAAAUCUCCAUUUAUGUUUUGAAUAAGACUCAGAAUCUUUUUUUUUUUUUCUUUUUCUUUUUAUGGUCGCACCUGCAGCAUAUGAACGUUCCCGGCCUAGGGGUUGAAUCGAAGAUGCAGCUGCUGGCCUAUGCAACACCAGAUCGGAGCCACAUCUGCGACCUGUGCUGUAGCUUGCUGCAAUGCUGGGUUCUUAACCCACUGAGGGAGGCCAGGGAUCAAAGCUGCAUCCUUACAGAGAUUAUGUCAUGUUCUUAAUCUGCUGAACCACAACGGGAACUCCCUCUCAGUUAUGUCUUAGAAACAACUGUUUACUCUCCCUCUGAUUAACUUUAAAUUGAGGGAGAUGGCAGUUUUAAGCACAUUUGAAACUCCUUCCUUCUUCUGUCUUUCUUGUCCUGGAUGAAGGAGUCUGAUCUGAAGAAGCAGGGGCAGUAUUAAGGACUCAAAGUGACCUUAAGAAGUUUGGGUCACUUUGCUGGUGGCAGGAGAAUGCCUGAGAGAAUUUUCUGUACACAAGAGUCAUUUUCAAUGAAAGUAUUUUCAGUGCAAGCUGUGGAUAUGACUAAAGAGUCAAAAAAUUUCAUUUAAUUUUAGAUAAAAGUGGAAGUGAGUAAAAUUAUUUUUAUCCAUAACUAUGAUGAGAGAAUGAAUACAGGUGGCCAAUUAAAACACUGGAUUUUUUGAAAAGAGAGAAGCCAGGAAUCAAUGAUAAAGACACAUGUUCAUAUAAAGAGAUUAUGCUCAAAAGGUUCUUAACUCUCUUACUGCAUGAUUCCCUCUGUUUCAGAGAGCUGGGGGCAACAAGAAAACAAUUACAUUUAAAAAUUUUUUUUCAUGCUUCCUCUCAUUUAAAAACUGUUUUCAUAAAUCUGCAUGCUCUGUGAACUAGUUUGUCUUUUUUAUUAUACAUGCAAAACCAGUAUUCUCUUUAUCAUGAUUGCUAUUAUUAUUAUUUAACUCUACUCCACUGCUUUCUCUGUUGGUGUCUUGCAUCAUUUCCAGUUACCGUCCUGACGAUCUGCCAGAGGCCAGCUCCGGCGGCCAGGGAGUGUACACUUUCCUGAUAGGAGAUGGACAGAGUUGGCAAAUGUACAUACAGAGACAGCCUCUUUGUCCCUUCUUUCAGGGCGCUGGACUGCUCAAAUUUUAUUGGCAUAAGUGGUUGAUUAUAUAGACAGCUUUUUACUACAGAUUACAUCACAGUGUUAAAAGUACAUUGGUUAACUAUUACAUGGUAUAGCAGCUAUACAUUAUGUUUUAAGAUCUUUAUCUUAACUUAGUGGGUACAAUUUAAGGGCAAUUAGGUAGAAUACAUCAUGUUUUAAGAUCUUUAUCUUAACUAAACUUAGUACAAUUUAAGGGCAAUUAGGUACAAUCCAUCAUGUUUUAAGAUCUUUAUCUUAACUAAACUUAGUGAGUACAACUUAAGGGCAACUAGGUACAAUACAUCAUGUGGAAAGGAGGAGACUCAGUGCAAAUCAUCCCAUGGCCAGCCAGUCUCCACAAGUUGAAGAGGUCACAGACACAAGAAUUUGGCAUUCACAAAUCUUGUUUUUAGACUGGUGCUUAUCUUUAAAAGUGUUAUGGCAGGGAGACAGUGUAAGCAAAUAUAAACCAAAUAACUAGCUAUCACUUAAAAGCUUUUAAAAUCAAGGACAAAACUCACAGCUAGGUUUCAUGGAUAAUACAUGUCUAACUUCUAUGAACCUCAUUAAAAUCCUAACUCUAAAGUUUACUAUAUAACUAGUUAGUAGAUAAACACUAUGUUCUAACUAAGUUGGAUUUAAAUAGGGGAAAGUCCUUCAGGAUGAAAUUCUUAUUAUAUUAUUGUUGUAAUUUUGUUAAAUCACAAAUCACCACAGGAAAAUAAGAAUAAUAAGUAAAUAAUCUGGAAAGACUGAGGAAAACUGAAUAACAAGUGAAUAACAGAAAAGACUAUGUCAUCCAUGGAACAAUCCUCACUCAGCAACGUAAAAUGGAAAUUGUUUCCUGGAAAAUUCAGUUCCAGGAAUCAUCAGCAUGCAAGCCUUAUUGUCUUCUGGGGUCUGUCCUCAAAUUGUGCCCUACAGGCAGACGUCUCCUUGUUUAGGAAUCUGCCCUCAGAAUUGCACCGUUCAGACAGGCCCCUUUUCUUGAUUAGGGGCUUGCCCUCGGAAUUGCAUUGUUCAGGCAAGCUCCCUUCCUCAGCUCCUUGUAUCUCCUCGGCUUCCCGCAGCGAUCCACUUUGUUACACCUGGGGGCUUUCUGAAGCUACCAAACGCUGUGACUUGACUACACCCUGUGUCUAACUAGCUUCAAACCUAUGUGGUUAAUUUCAGCCUAACGGUGUGCUCUAAAGACUAGGAAAAACCAUAGUAUUUUCCAAGCUGUCAUAAAAUGUGACUCAGGCCUUCUGAAGGCAGCCAUGUUCCAAACACUUAAAGGGGUCGAGAAUGAACAUCCGCCCUCAAAAUGAUUGGAAAUAGAACCAGCAGCAAAAUAAGACCUGUCCCUGGGAGUCUUGGGACCUCUCUCACGCCCUCAUGGCUGUACCUGCUUCCAGGGUCUACAACUUGAAGGCAUGUGCUUGUGUUGCUCAGUGGCCCCUUAGAAAAUACAGGAUAUAGGACAGGUGGCCGGCACUCAUGCCAAAGGUGGAAUCCACUCAGCUCAGCAGCCCUCUCCUGUUUUAGUGUGUAAUUCCAUGGAGCUCUUUUAUAUCUAGAAGCAUCCAGAAACGUCCUAUGAGCAUUGGCUAGUUAGUAUUUGCCCUGAUGCUGAGGCAAAGGUGUCUCGUCCCUUUGCUGCUUCCUCUUAUGAGAUCAGUUAGCCCAAGUGAUUGGGUGGAUGAGACUCUGAAGGUCAUUUAGAUUCCGUGAUGGCCCUUGGACUGGAAUGGCCACAAGGGAAGGGGUGGGGGUCAACCGUUUUACUCAAGGUCGUUCUGGAGCUUCCAGAUGGAGACGGCUUUGGAGGCCCUUGUUCAAAGGGCAGGGAGCGCUCAGAGCCCAGAGCAGAAUGUGCCCGGAGAAAGGAUGGCACAGGGAAAGAUGAACUGAAAGAACACAGAGAGCCGGUCCGUUCAGGUCAGGGUCAUCACGGGGCUCUUUAGAGAGAAGCACUGCCGGACCCGGCCAGGGAAGCCAAACAAAAGCCAAGGAGAAGGGCAGGAGGAGGUGGCGCCUUCAAGGACAGUCCCAGGACUGGACCAGGUCAGAACUGCAGCCGCCCCAGAGAUACAGACGCCGAUGCUUGAUGAGCCAGGAAAUCAUUCGGAAUUGUAAACUGAUUUUUUGUGUGUGUGUCUUUUUGCCUUUUCUAGGGCUGCUCCCUCGGCAUAUGGAGGUUCCCAGGUAGGGGUCCAGUCGGAGCUGUAGAUGCUGGCCUACACCACAGCUACAGCGACACGGGAUCCGAGCCGUGUCUGUGACCUAAACUACAGCUCACGGCAAUGCCAGAUCCCUAACCCAUUGAGCAAGGCCAGGGACUGAACCAGUAACCUCAUGGUUCCUAGUCAGAUUCGUUAACCUCUGCACCACAACGGGAACUCCAACUGAUUUUUUUUUUUUUUUUUUAAACAUUGUUUGGCUUUAGUGGCAAUGGUGAUUCAGAGGAUGUGUGAAGGUGGGAUUACAAAGACCUAGAGCUGGAGUUCCCAUCGUGGCUCAGCGGUAAUGAACCUGACUAGUAUCCAUGAGGAUGUGGGUUCCAUCCCUGGCCCUGCUCAGUGGGUUAAGGAUCUGGCACUGCCAUGAGCUGUGGUGUAGGUCUGGGAUAUGGCUUGCAUCUGGAGUUGCGGUGGCUGUGGUGUAGGCCGGCAUCUGCAGCUCCGAUUCUACACCUGUAGACCCACAGGUGUGGCCUUACAAAGCAAACAAACCAACCAACCAACCCCCAAACAAACAAACAAAACCAAAGACCUAGAGCCUUUCAAGGAACACUAAUUCAAUGAGAAGUUAAUGGGUGUUAAGAGGAAAAUAGGAAUUGCCACAUGGCACAGAGGGUUAAUGAUCCAGCUUGUCUCUCUGGAGGUGCUGGUUCAGUCCAUAUACCAGCAGUUAGGUCAUUUUAAAAAAAA